This 303-nucleotide ribosomal RNA is filed under the name uncultured bacterium. Its description in RNAcentral is "partial 16S ribosomal RNA". It matches the Rfam family "Bacterial small subunit ribosomal RNA", at positions 507 to 809 of the family's 1533-position model. The record is from RNAcentral.
AGCAGUCGCCGCGGGAAUACGAAGGGGGCUAGCGUUGUUCGGAAUUACUGGGCGUAAAGCGCACGUAGGCGGAUAUUUAAGUCAGGGGUGAAAUCCCGCAGCUCAACUGCGGAACUGCCCUUGAUACUGGGUAUCUUGAGUAUGGAAGAGGUUAGUGGAAUUGCGAGUGUAGAGGUGAAAUUCGUAGAUAUUCGCAGGAACACCAGUGGCGAAGGCGGCUAACUGGUCCAUAACUGACGCUGAGGUGCGAAAGCGUGGGGAGCAAACAGGAUUAGAUACCCCUGUAGUCCCUGUCUCUUAUAA